UACGUAGGGGGCAAGCGUUGUCCGGAUUUACUGGGCGUAAAGAGCGUGUAGGCGGUCACGCAGGUCCGCUGUGAAAACUGGAGGCUCAACCUCCAGCUGUCGACGGAAACCGUAUGGCUAGAGUCCGGAAGAGGAGAGUGGAAUUCCUGGUGUAGCGGUGAAAUGCGCAGAUAUCAGGAAGAACACCAAUGGCGAAGGCGGCCUGCUGGGCAGUGGCUGACGCUGAGGCGCGACAGCGUGGGGAGCAAACAGG
Molecule: ribosomal RNA, 253 nt
Filed under: uncultured bacterium
Lineage: Bacteria
Description: partial 16S ribosomal RNA
Rfam family: Bacterial small subunit ribosomal RNA
Source: RNAcentral